AUUUGGGUUUUUAACUUAGAUUUGGGUGGCGGACGGGUGAGUAACGCGUAAAGAACUUGCCUCACAGCUAGGGACAACAUUUAGAAAUGAAUGCUAAUACCUGAUAUUAUGGUUAUAGGGCAUCCUAUAAUUAUGAAAGCUAUAAGCACUGUGAGAGAGCUUUGCGUCCCAUUAGCUAGUUGGAGAGGUAACAGCUCACCAAGGCGAUGAUGGGUAGCCGGCCUGAGAGGGUGAACGGCCACAAGGGGACUGAGACACGGCCCUUACUCCUACGGGAGGCAGCAGUGGGGAAUAUUGGACAAUGGACCGAGAGUCUGAUCCAGCAAUUCUGUGUGCACGAUGAAGUUUUUCCGGAAUGUAAAGUGCUUUCAGUUGGGAAGAAAGAAAUGACGGUACCAACAGAAGAAGUGACGGCUAAAUACGUGCCAGCAGCCGCGGUAAUACGUAUGUCACGAGCGUUAUCCGGAUUUAUUGGGCGUAAAGCGCGUCUAGGUGGUUAUGUAAGUCUGAUGUGAAAAUGCAGGGCUCAACUCUGUAUUGCGUUGGAAACUGUAUAACUAGAGUACUGGAGAGGUAAGCGGAACUACAAGUGUAGAGGUGAAAUUCGUAGAUAUUUGUAGGAAUGCCGAUGGGGAAGCCAGCUUACUG
This 648-nucleotide ribosomal RNA is filed under the name uncultured Fusobacteriota bacterium. RNAcentral's name for it is "bacterial SSU rRNA". It matches the Rfam family "Bacterial small subunit ribosomal RNA", at positions 71 to 731 of the family's 1533-position model. Lineage: Bacteria; Fusobacteriati; Fusobacteriota. The record is from RNAcentral.